AAAAAGGUAGAACCGUGGGGGUCUAGAGCAAAAAAAAUAAGAAGCGGGGGAUGGAAAGGAAGAGCUGCAUAAUUUGGAGGUUGUCUUUGCAAAAAAUGCCCUUGAGCAAAGCAAAUGGCAACUUGAAGAAAAGUACCAGGCUUUUUGAGGGGUUAGAUUUCCAUUUCUUUUUUUCUCUCUUCUUUUCUUUUUUGUAAUUUUAACCCUUUUUUUUUCACCUUUCUGGUAUAAAGUAAGUCUGGUCAGUUUAUGGAUGCUAUCUUUAUGUAGAAUUUUGCCUUGUACUGCCUCAGCUUCAGAC
This 301-nucleotide long non-coding RNA is filed under the name Setaria italica (foxtail millet). Its description in RNAcentral is "long non-coding RNA (SITA_LNC005180)". Lineage: Eukaryota; Viridiplantae; Streptophyta; Magnoliopsida; Poales; Poaceae. The record is from RNAcentral.